AGCAGUCGCCGCGGGAAAACGUAGGUGGCAAGCGUUGUCCGGAAUUAUUGGGCGUAAAGCGCGCGCAGGCGGAUCAGUCAGUCUGUCUUAAAAGUUCGGGGCCUAACCCCGUGAGGGGAUGGAAACUGCUGAUCUAGAGUAUCGGAGAGGAAAGUGGAAUUCCUAGUGUAGCAGUGAAAUGCGUAGAUAUUAGGAAGAACACCAGUGGCGAAGGCGACUUUCUGGACGAAAACUGACGCUGAGGCGCGAAAGCCAGGGGAGCGAACGGGAUUAGAUACCCCUGUAGUCCCUGUCUCUUAUACA
Molecule: ribosomal RNA, 303 nt
Filed under: uncultured bacterium
Lineage: Bacteria
Description: partial 16S ribosomal RNA
Rfam family: Bacterial small subunit ribosomal RNA
Source: RNAcentral